GCCAAACAACUAGCUUAACCACCAAAACAAAUUUACACCAUAAAUAAUAAAGAUUUAACCCCAAAUCAAUUAACUAAAACAUUCUCCCAUCCUAAGUACGGGAGACAAAAAAGGAUCAAUUUAAAGCUAUAGAAAAAGUACCGCAAGGGAACGUUGAAAGAGAAAUGAAACAACCCAUAUAAGCCAUAAAAAUCAAAGACUAAAUCUUGUACCUUUUGCAUCAUGAUUUAGCAAGUCCACUCAAGCAAAGAGACCUUAAGUUUGAAACCCCGAAACCAAGUGAGCUACCCCGAGACAGCCUACAUAGAAUUAGGGCCAACCCAUCUCUGUGGCAAAAGAGUGGAAAGAGCUCCGGGUAGAGGUGACAGACCUAUCGAACUUGGUGAUAGCUGGUUGCCUAGAAAAUGAAUAUAAGUUCAGCCUCGCACACCCCAAAUCAAUAAAUCAUAUUAUUAAGAAACAUGAGAAAAAUGCGAGAGUUAGUUUAAGAGGGUACAGCCCCUAAAACAAAGGAUACAACCUUAACAGGAGAAUAAAGAUUAUAAUACUAAAAACACAAUGUUCUAGUAGGCCUAAAAGCAGCCACCUAAACAGAAAGCGUUAAAGCUCGGACAAAUAAAAGUUAAUUAUACCAAUAAAACAAUCUCACUUCCCCAAAUAAUACUAGGCCAUUCCAUGCAACCAUGGAAGAGAUUAUGCUAAAAUGAGUAACAAGAAGAACUUAACCUUCUCCUCGCACAAGUGUAAGUCAGAUCGGACCAACCACUGACAAUUAACGAACCCAAACAAAUGAGGGCAAUAUGAAUAACACAAUAAUCAAGAAAAUUACACAACCCAAAAUCGUUAUCCCUACACUGGGGUGCAACAAAGGAAAGACUAAAAGAAAAGGAAGGAACUCGGCAAACCCAAGCCUCGCCUGUUUACCAAAAACAUCGCCUCCUGCAAUAUAUAAGUAUAGGAGGUCCAGCCUGCCCAGUGACUACAAGUUCAACGGCCGCGGUAUUUUAACCGUGCAAAGGUAGCGCAAUCACUCGUCCUCUAAUUAAGGACCUGUAUGAAUGGUUAGACGAGGGCUUAACUGUCUCCCCUCUCCAGUCAGUGAAAUUGAUAUAUCCGUGCAGAAGCGGGUAUAAUAAUACAAGACGAGAAGACCCUUUGGAGCUUAAGGUACAAGAAUCAAUCAUGUUAAACAAACUUUUAAAGUCCUUAAACCUAGUGAAAAAUGAAACUCUACCUUCGGUUGGGGCGACCACGGAGAAAAAAACAACCUCCAAGUGGACCGGAUUAUUUCCAAAACCAAGAUAAAACACCUCUAAGUAACAGAACAUCUGACCAAAAAUGAUCCGGCCACAAGCCGAUCAACGAACCAAGUUACCCAAGGGAUAACAGCGCAAUCCUCUUCCAGAGUUCAUAUCGACAAGGGGGUUUACGACCUCGAUGUUGGAUCAGGACAUCCUAAUGGUGCAGCCGCUAUUAAGGGUUCGUUUGUUCAACGAUUAAAGUCCUACGUGAUCUGAGUUCAGACCGGAGCAAUCCAGGUCAGUUUCUAUCUGUAACGCCACUUUCCCCAGUACGAAAGGACCGGAAAAAGAGGGCCCACCCUACAAGUGCGCCCUACCCCAAUUUAAUGAACCCAAAUAAAUUAAACAACGGGAGGGCACAAACCAACUAUUCCUAAACAAGGAGUU
RNAcentral lists this ribosomal RNA (1688 nucleotides) under Rasbora trilineata (scissor-tailed rasbora). RNAcentral's name for it is "16S ribosomal RNA". The stretch from base 96 to 1576 matches the Rfam family "Bacterial large subunit ribosomal RNA". The record is from RNAcentral. Lineage: Eukaryota; Metazoa; Chordata; Actinopteri; Cypriniformes; Danionidae.